UCCAGGUGUAGCGGUGAAAUGCGUAGAGAUCUGGAGGAAUACCGGUGGCGAAGGCGGCCCCCUGGACAAAGACUGACGCUCAGGUGCGAAAGCGUGGGGAGCAAACAGGAUUAGAUACCCUGGUAGUCCACGCCGUAAACGAUGUCGACUUGGAGGUUGUGCCCUUGAGGCGUGGCUUCCGGAGCUAACGCGUUAAGUCGACCGCCUGGGGAGUACGGCCGCAAGGUUAAAACUCAAAUGAAUUGACGGGGGCCCGCACAAGCGGUGGAGCAUGUGGUUUAAUUCGAUGCAACGCGAAGAACCUUACCUACUCUUGACAUCCAGAGAACUUAGCAGAGAUGCUUUGGUGCCUUCGGGAACUCUGAGACAGGUGCUGCAUGGCUGUCGUCAGCUCGUGUUGUGAAAUGUUGGGUUAAGUCCCGCAACGAGCGCAACCCUUAUCCUUUGUUGCCAGCGGUCCGGCCGGGAACUCAAAGGAGACUGCCAGUGAUAAACUGGAGGAAGGUGGGGAUGACGUC
Molecule: ribosomal RNA, 518 nt
Filed under: Enterobacter sp. FPH00672
Lineage: Bacteria; Pseudomonadati; Pseudomonadota; Gammaproteobacteria; Enterobacterales; Enterobacteriaceae
Description: bacterial SSU rRNA
Rfam family: Bacterial small subunit ribosomal RNA
Source: RNAcentral